Molecule: ribosomal RNA, 485 nt
Filed under: uncultured bacterium
Lineage: Bacteria
Description: partial small subunit ribosomal RNA
Rfam family: Bacterial small subunit ribosomal RNA
Source: RNAcentral
AGGAUAAACGCUGGCGGCGUGCCUAACACAUGCAAGUCGAACGUCCUCUUUCUUUUCGGAGGGAGAGGGAGUGGCGGACGGGUGAGUAACACAUGGGUGACCUGCCCCAAAGUGAGGGAUACCGGCGAGAAAUCGCCGACAAGCCCGCAUAGGCUGGCUCUGGUAGAGCGGAGCGAGCAAAGUUUUGCGCAAGUGAGACGCUUUGGGAUGGGCCUGUGGCCGAUUAGCUAGUUGGUGGGGGAAGAGCCUACCAAGGCGACGAUCGGUAGCUGGUCUGAGAGGACGAUCAGCCACACUGGGAUUGAGAACGGCCCAGACUCCUACGGGGGGCAGCAGUGAGGAAUUUUCCGCAAUGGUCGCAAGACUGACGGAGCAACGCCGCGUGCAGGAGGACGCUUUCGGAGUGUAAACUGCUUUUCUGUGGGACGAGAAGUGGACGGUACCACGAGGAAGAAGCCCCGGACUAACUACGUGCCAGCAGCCGC